This 679-nucleotide ribosomal RNA is filed under the name uncultured crenarchaeote. RNAcentral's name for it is "bacterial SSU rRNA". It matches the Rfam family "Archaeal small subunit ribosomal RNA", at positions 102 to 783 of the family's 1478-position model. The record is from RNAcentral. Lineage: Archaea; Thermoproteati; Thermoproteota.
AGUCAACCUAACUCGUGGACGUGGAUAACCUCGGGAAACUGAGAAUAAACCACGAUAGAUCAUAGUGCCUGGAAUGGCUUAUGGUCCAAACAGUUUACUGCCAUGGGAUGGGACUGCGGCCUAUCAGCUUGUUGGUGAGGUAAUGGCCCACCAAGGCGAUUACAGGUACGGGCUCUGAGAGGAGAAGCCCGGAGAUGGGUACUGAGACACGGACCCAGGCCCUAUGGGGCGCAGCAGGCGAGAAACCUUAGCAAUGUGCGAAAGCACGACUGGGUCAGUCCGAGUGAUUCCUGAUAAAGGAGUCUUUUGCUUGUCCUAAAAGCACAGGUGAAUAAGGGGUGGGCAAGUCUGGUGUCAGCCGCCGCGGUAAUACCAGCACCUCGAGUGGUCAGGACGUUUAUUGGGCCUAAAGCAUCCGUAGCCGGCUUUGCAAGUCUUCGGUUAAAUCCACCUGCUCAACAGAUGGGCCGCUGGAGAUACUACAAAGCUAGGGAGUGGGAGAGGCAGACGGUAUUCAGUGGGUAGGGGUAAAAUCCUCUGAUCCAUUGAGGACCACCAGUGGCGAAGGCGGUCUGCCAGAACACGUUCGACGGUGAGGGAUGAAAGCUGGGGGAGCAAACCGGAUUAGAUACCCGGGUAGUCCCAGCUGUAAACGAUGCAAACUCGGUGAUGCAUUGGC